GGUGGCUCAGUGUUAUAGCACUUGCCUUGCAUGCAUGAGGCCCUGGGUUCGAUUCCUCAGCACCA
This 65-nucleotide transfer RNA is filed under the name Dipodomys ordii (Ord's kangaroo rat). It matches the Rfam family "tRNA". Rfam says of the family: Transfer RNA (tRNA) molecules are approximately 80 nucleotides in length. Their secondary structure includes four short double-helical elements and three loops (D, anti-codon, and T loops). The record is from Rfam by way of RNAcentral. Lineage: Eukaryota; Metazoa; Chordata; Mammalia; Rodentia; Heteromyidae.